RNAcentral lists this ribosomal RNA (320 nucleotides) under Leatettix moraki. RNAcentral's name for it is "partial 12S ribosomal RNA". Lineage: Eukaryota; Metazoa; Arthropoda; Insecta; Orthoptera; Lentulidae. The record is from RNAcentral.
UUAAACUCAAAGAAUUUGGCGGUAUUUUAUUCCUUUUAGAGGAACCUAUCUCAUGAUUGAUAAUACACGAUUAAUUUUACUUAUAUUUAUUUGUUUGUAUAUUUCCGUUAUCAGAAGAUCUUUUAAGAGUUUUAAUUUUCUUUACUUAUUAUUAUAAUUUAUUUCAGGUCAAGGUGCAGCUUAUAAUUAAGAGAAGAUGGGUUACAAUAAAUUUUUGUUUAUUACGGUUUUAUAUUUUGAAAUUUUAUAAUUAAGGNGGAUUUAAUAGUAAAUUGAUUAAUUUAAUUCAAUUGAUUUUGGCUCUAAGGUGUGUACACAUC